GUAUGUCAGAGCUCUAGACACUAGAGCAAUUGACUUGUUGAUGAACUUACUAGCAUAGUUAUUAACAGAAUAGUAAUAAGCUUACUAUCACAAUGAUUAAGAUAGUUAUUAACAUAGUAAAUAAUUUAAUUAACAAUGAUACUUUUUAACAUUUAUUGGUGCAGUUACGAACUUUUUUAUAUAUUCUGUGAGGAGGUGCGCUCUGGUAUUCAUGGUGUCUUCUUGCUUUGUCCCCCCAGACAUUCUCAGUUCUUUUCUGCUUUAUUCUCCCUUGUAGUCUUUCCCUCCACAUGGUGAAUCCUUAUUGUCUAUCGCCCAAAAGGUUACUCUUCUUUCUACAACACAGUGCAUGUCAUGAAAGUUGAAAAUGUGCAGUCAGUACUGGAUCCACUGUACACGUGGCACAAUUGCCUUCACCCCAGGAACUAAGGCAGGAAGCUCAGUUUGUUCUGGGGCAGAUUCAUAUUCACUCUUGAUCUCUUUUGCUAGAAGUCUGUGCAGAGCAACAUACAAAAGAAUAAAAUACAAUCAAGUGGAAUAGUACUGUCGAACAUAAUUAAACAAUAUAACAAGCAUAUUUUUGUAACUGUUAAUAUUGAGAAAGCAAUUCUUCUGAAAUCUAGGCAUCUUUCUGAAGAAAAAAGUCAAGUUCAAUGUGGUUAUUGCCUUACCUACUUAACAUUUUUAGCCAUGCCGUGCAUUAGCUGGACUUUGAAACUACUAAUGGGAUUUGCAUUGGCUUCAAAGUAUAUUACAGCAGCUCAUAAAGCUCCAUGUGAGAGGGACAAGGUGCCUGCUGUUUCAGUGCUUGCUGUUUCUGUUCUGUGAUGGACCGCAUAUAAAAUGUGGUAGAGGGGUAUGGCAUCUUCAAGCAGACUGAGACACAUCUCUUUCCUCUUGCCACUCUCAGACUCAGCAGUAAGAAACUUUUAUCUGCAUAAUGAGCGGAUACUAAGGCAGGGAAUUCUGAGAGCACUUUUACCAUUGGUUCAAAUGCAGCUGAUAAAUUACAAGCACAAAUUACAGAUUUCUGCAGGACUAAAUCUACCCUUUGAAAAUCAGACAUCUGCUUCCAAAGGGGCAUACCACUACAUGCAGUUAUUUCAGUUUAUAACUGCUUCUAGCCCAUCGUGUUCAGGCUCAGGUCUAACAGAGCAACAGUGUUUGGCACAUUCACCAUUCACACUACAUGGUGUCGUGUGUGGGCUGACUAAUGCAACUGCAGAGGACAGUAAGUGGUUCAGAGAUAAGCACGUGUGCACACAUUCAGAUAGCAGCAGCACCUGAUCCCAAGGUUACAUGUCCUCCCUUUUUUGUGCACCUUUAUUGUAGUCUUGUCAAUAGACCAACGUGUAUCAGGAGUGCUUUUGAAAAUUACAUAUAUUUUUAUAAAUGCAUAUAAACUUAUACAUGCAUAUAUCUAUACCUGGAGAAAGAGAUGUGAUGGCGAAUAUGUAAGUACAGAAACAUGGCCUCCUAAGAUAUGACCCUUAAUAUGCCACUAAAUGUUGGCUAAAUUAAUUAAUUAAAUUAAUGAUACAUAAACUUUUUUUUUUUUGAGUUAUGGAGUUUUGUUCUUAUGCAUGAUCAGAAGAAAAAAAACACAUAACAAACUCUAAAGCUGGCCUCACAGCAGUGCCAUCACCAAUACUUUUGCAUCUCUUACAUGUUUAGAGAUGAGGGGUCCUGUCAAGCCUGGCUGGUAUGUGGAUAAUCCCAAAGGAGGGAUGUGUAUUUUCCACCCUUCCCGGUCCUCACUUUUGCAGAGGAUGCUACCUGAGCAUACCUGAGGACUGUAACUGAGUCCCACCGUCACUGAGAAGGGCAGGGAAGAAACAUGUAUCAGCAGGGCCUGGCUUCGGCAACUGUAGAAACUUGCCAUGCAUUCUGUGCAUCAUUUUUAUAGCCCUGAUCAUGACAUAUGAUAGAAGCCAGAAAAUAGUCUCUUAUCAUCAUACUGCAGACAAGAGUCUCUCUUAUAGUAUGUGCCCUGGGCAUAGUCCUGCCAAUUUCACUGGCACAGAUAUGGAAAGCUGUAUUUGCUCUUUUCUGUAACCUAUUUACAGGGAUUUCUUAUGAAUCCCCAGAAUUUCCCCUGGAGUGGGACAACCCCAUGCUGUUCUCAGUUAGUGUUGUACUAUUUUCCUGAAGAAAAAAAAUACAGUUGUAUUAAGCCUGAAAGAUUUCUGUCACAAAAUAUUUGCCAAAUGCAGCCCAGGAUUUUAUUUUGGGACUUUUUGGGCAGCUUCCUUCUGAGCUGGGGUCCUUGGGAAUCCAAGGUCACCAGCUUGGGAUGAGCUAGGUCCUCCCACCUCUCAGCUUGACAAGGGAAGGAGAAAGCUCAGACUUGGCUAUAAUAAAACCCCAAAGACUACAAACCUUGAAGUCACAGGCAGCUGUUCAGAAAAAAAAUGACCUUUUUUGCAUCAGCAAAAUGGAGAAAAAUGGCAAUUUUAUUGAGAGGAUGCAUGUUCUGGGUAGAAUAAUUAAUCUGGGAAGUAUUAUAUGUCUUAGGUUAUGAAAGAAAAUGUUAUUGGAAUAUCUGUUUCAUAGGAAUUUGUGAAACAUUUUAUAUUUUGGUUCAAUUUUGAUUAAAGUAAAAUCUGAAGAAGAUUGUUUUUUCACACAUCAGAAGGCUACCAGUUCUCCUUCUACUACAGGCUAGGUCUAAUUAAGCAAGUUCUUGGCUUAGUAGGCAAGGAGAUAUCCAAAUAAAACAAAUAGCUAUGCUACUGGUCUCGCUUACAUCAUGGGAGAAGUUGACAGCUUCACUAGUGUUAUUGUAACUAGGAUUUGAAAGCAGUAUAAUAAAUAAAUGUCAUUGUUUUGUCAAAGAGAUGUAAGACUUCUAUAUUAGCUGUAUAUUUGCCCUCUGGACUGCUGGAAAACAGAGGGAAGAAAGAUGGCAAAAAUAGAAGCACUUGAAAAAUAAGAUGAAAGUGUAGGUAAAUAACCAAAAUAGUUUUUAGUUAUAGCUAAGUAUUUAAAUUUCCAUUUACCCUAUCCAGUCUUGAAAUACUAAGGUAAACUUUGCAGUAGUACUUAUAAACACUUCACAAGAAUCUCACUAUUUCUCAGCCCCAUACAUCUCAGUGAGAUGCAGUGUCAUGUAAUGUCCUCUUCAUGUUACAAAUGUUCUUAUGGAUAACAAAGACAGGAGCCAGCAAAAAGGUUUACCUUGACAUGGGAAGUUCAGAAUACUGUGCUGCCACCUGAAAUGCUCAGCUAUUGCCACUGAGGAACAGGAGUGUGAAGCAUUUCAGAGCACUAGAAAGCUGUAGCCUUUCCAAGGUUUCUUUUCUGUACAGUUUUAAAUAACAAGAACCUUUACCUUCUUUCUCUAGAAAGAAAACAGGCUUAUCUAGCCAUGAGAAAGAAAACAAGUUGCCCAUCUUCCAGAGGGCUGGCAGACUAAAUGCAUUUGUGCACUCACGUGCAACAACCAGGGGCAAGCCAUUUGACUGCACAUAGUGGUCAAUAUUGCAAGCAGAGUGGAAACGAAGAGUUUGUAUUGAGUGAAGAUUUUUGUUCUAUGUAAGAUGUACUCCAUCUGCAGAUGCAUUUAGAUGUUUCCAUUUUCAUGGAAAUUGAACCCAAGAGGGAGGGGAAAACACGACACCUAAUGACCUAAUGCAAAGGUAAUUAAAAAAAAAGAUUGUUUAUAUGGGAAUGUGGGACCUAAUGUCUUUCUCUGUAUGCCGCAUUUUACUCAAAUGCCAGUUUUCAUUUUUUACUUUGUGGAAUGUAGAUGAGCAGGUCAGUUGCAUAAUAUGUGUGCUUUCCCCCUUUUCUCCAUUGCUUUCUCCAUUACCUUUGGCUUGGAUAAAUUCCUUUGAAAAUGAGCUUAACGGAGCACAGGGUCAAGUGAGUUUCCUGGUGGUACUCAGUAGUCCGACCAGUCAACUGGCUACAGCAGUUGACCCAUAGUAGUAAACUAACUCCCACUUAGAACUAGUGUCUUUUAAUGGUUACAGAAAUCCAUCAGUUUCCAAAGAAAAAAUGUGACAGAAUGACAGCUCUCAGGCUGGGCAGGACAGUUACUAAGUUAUGUAAGAAACAGCCUUCUGUGCAUUGUCAAAUUUUGCCUGCAAUAUGUUUGGCCAAAGAUCAACCAUAAACUGAGACUGUGAACUCUUCAGACUUUGUCUGACCUGCCUGUGGUUGUCUCUAUUAUGUAGCUGCCUAAUCUGGGCCAGAAUUACAUUUUCUUGCAUUCUAGAUUUUAUCAUCCUUUUAUGUUGUACAUCCAGUAUCUCUGUGAGAAAAAGACUGGGAUUUCUUCAAGAAGUGAACCGAGCAAAGCAGGAGAAAGCAAGAAGUAUACAGAAUCAAAGCACCCUGAAAAGUUUAUGAAAUAGAGAUGACAUUGGAAGUACAGAUUGAAGGAUGGGCUAGGAGGAAGCAGACAAUCCAAAUGUGCAAAGAGAAAAAGAAAGGAUAAACUGAACGCUGAAGGUUAUUGCAGGUGAGAUUCUGUUGAAAGUGUAAAGAAAAAUGAAAGCAGCAAGGAUGCUGAAGGAUUCCAGUUUUCAUUAUCACACUUGGACUAAUGCACAUUUCAGUUGCAUGUAGCGCAUAGCAUAUAAAUGAGGUAUACAUCGAUUGCACCGAAAGUAAUGUCUCCUGUUUGUUUCUAUGAAAAUGACAAAGAUACAAAGAGCACAAUACUGUUUGAUAGAGCAUAUUCUCAGCUACAAGACUAAUUUUCAACACACCACCGCUUGCUAUGCAUUUUCAUCAGUGAUGAACAGGAGCCUACAUGCCACGCUCAUAAUGGAAUGUAAUAAAAUAAUGAUGGGAAGGUUCAACCCCUACUGCCAUACCACCAACAUCUGCCUCUGACAUUGUGGAUCAAUGUAAUAAAAUAGGAGACAUUACUUUCGGAGCAGCCAUUAUAUUUGCUGUAGAACUAAAUGUAAGAAAAGCAAAAAAACUCUUCUAACAGAGAAAAAGUGGGGCUGUCUUAUCUGUUUAGCAUACUCAUGGUAGUGUUUCUAUAAGAUAAAAAUCUGUACUAUUAGAAAUGAACUUGGAUAAGCUGAAAAAUGGACUCCCAGGGAGUUCUGCUGGAAAUCUGAAUAGUUUUAAGGUCUAUAUAGCACUCAGAAAAUUUUGUACAGGAGUUUUCUGUGGAUUCUCUGGAGUUUAACACUCUGGGUUCCUAAAAGAUACUGCACUGGCAGAUCCAGGGGGCUAAAUCAGAUUCAGCAGCAAGUAAAUUCCUGAUUCCAUCAAGAUCAGAGAAAGCUCCCUUCAGACUUAUUCUUGAAGUGGCACUACUCAAAGGCCUGUGGUCAAAGUUCUGUGAGGUCCUGUGCAGAGUGAUAGGAGUAGUUUUGAAACCAGCAAAAUCAAGAAUGAAAAAGAAAAAGAAAAAAAAAAAAGAAGGAGGAAUAGAGUGAUAAAUGAUCCUAUGUAAAUAUAAUGCAGUAAAAAACAAAUCAUUCAAUGAAUUGGAAUAGGACAGGACUUGUUUGAUGAGUUUAUGUGGACAUCAUAGAAAAUAUGCACAAUGGUGCAUGUCUUUUUGUAUUUUUCUUUGUACCUGAAUAUGCACAGACCUCCAUUAGGCUAUUUCCUGGUUUACUCAUAGCAUAAAGGGAGCCUGAAAGGAGAGUUAAGUAGCUCCAGAAAAUCAUGUCGAUAUGCUUCCUAAGAGCAUCUGCUGUUUGGCAUCCUGACCCUGUAGACAGGAGGAGAGCUUCUGGGUGACAUAUCUGCAAGAUGAAGGGUACUUGUUUCUCAAAUGUUGAUUCUUAAAACUGUGAAUAAAUUAUAUCAUUUAAAUGAAGUAACUUUGCUUUUCUGUUUUUCUGAGUAAAAGGAGGUGCCCGUGGAUGAGGGCCAGAAUAUUCUCCUGUCUGCUUACCAGUCAAAAUCAUUUCAUUUAUUUGCAGUUCUAUUUUCUAUUAAUUUAGGAAGGAGUGCCAACUGUAUGGCUUUAUAGUAGAUUUGAGUUCUUGAUGAGUUUGGUUCACAAUGUAAUAUUAUUGUUGUCUUGUUGGAGUACUGCCUCCUUCAGGGCUUGACUCUUCCAUCUCUAUUCCAUGGUGAGAAAGAAGAGUCUAUAAGGCUCUCAGAUUCUAAGACAUGCUAUUUUUUCCUUCAGCUGUUUUUGAAACUUCAUUUUCCUUUUGAAUUGAUCGUCUUUUCAAUUGUUGUAUGUUGUUGUGGUCAUAACAACAAAUAUCAGUGAACAUCACAGCUCUUCAACAGGUGGUUAAGGCUUUGAAGAAAAGCGUUGCUGUUUAUGCUCAUUCUCAUAACUUUUGAAAAGUAUUUCUUAUUUGAAUUUGCAUUUGUUUUAAUUUGAUAUUGAUAAGAUCCAGAUAGUUAACUAUAAUUGUUUAUUCAAGAUAUCUAGCUCUCUCUUAUUCAGCUAACUAUUAGGUUACAAAUAGUGGCAGCUGAACAGUUCUUUUCAUUAGUUUGCAAUAUUUAAUCCAUAAGUGAUUAUUUCAACAUACAUGCAUAAGAGAUUAAAUGAAUGUAUGAACAAUGCUUCCUGUGGCUAAAUUUUUGUGUGGUAAAUGUAUCCUCAUGUUAAGGACUUGAUAGAAUACAUAAGGCACAGAACAUGGUACGUAUUACUUGAGCUUGGGUGGUCUAGUAGAUCAUUUCCACAGCUCAAAGCCCCUCACCAUUUAGUGAAUAUACAAUACAGUAUUCUUCCAUGACUAUUUACAUUCCUUUUUUUUUUUUUUUUUUUUUUGCAGCAACUUCAAAGGCAUACAUUAGGCAUUUCUAUCCCUUUGCCUUUUUUUGAUCUUCUUGAAAAUGAAUUUUACUGUGGUGUCAAAAUAUAAUACAGUCCACUCAUUCAUUAGACACAGAAGUAUCAUUAGUUGUAAUGAGAAAGAGCAUAAUGCUGAAAAACAGUCAUGGAAGAAAAAUCAAAAAACAAGACUAGGAAGCUCUAAGAAAAAUAAAGCACUGCCUCUUUUAUCCCAUCAAAGCCUUUGUACAGUAGGAGAAAUGAUUAAGAAGGCACUGCAGAACAGAAAAUCUGAGAAAAAUUCAAUUUUAUUAUUUUAGAGGUUUCUGAGCAGGCAAGUUCUGCAGUCCUCUUGAAGCUCAAUUAUAAUUCAGUAGGAAAAGGCAAAGGAGAAAGAUUUUAAAUGGAAGUUAAAGAGGGACUGAAUGUAGAGUGAAGAUAAUGAGAUCUUUCUGUCCCUAAUAUAACCAAGGAAAAUGCUCCAUGUAAUUCUUAAAUGAGUACUCAGUUCUACCACAUCUUUACAAAAAGUCCCCAGAUUUCUCAUUUGUAAAACCACUCUGAAUUUUCAAGGGGCAAAUAAAAAAUUGCCAGUUUAAAACAAAAUUAAAGGAACCUAAGAAACUGUGGCCAUAAUUGCAGUGAAACCUGUAUGCUUCCACCUAUAGAGACUUCCCUUUGAGGAUCUCAGAAAACUGCAGACAUUAAUCAAAUUUCACAAUGAUAAUGGAAAAUAUUUUAGUUUUUUCUAGAAUAAUCAGACCUAUUUGCAGUCAGAAAAAUAUUGUUUUGUCAAAAUCAGAGCAAUGUAUUUCUUUGCUGGGCUUUGUAAAGGUUUGUCUUGAUAACAUCAACUGUGUUGGGUGCAUGUUUUGACUAUUCCAGCUGUUAGAUCCCAUUAUAUUCCCAUACAGGACAUUUAAGAAUGAUGGAAGUCCAACUGAGGGUCAGAAAAAUUGUUUUGUCCCUACUAAAUUCAGAUCUUUUAUUUUUAUAAAUUUAUUUUGACUUUUUGAUAAUGAAAAUUCUCAGAAAUUUCAUUGUGUAGGAACUUAAUGUUGUUGACCUUCUGUUAGAGUUCAGGAUGAAAGGAAAGAGCAAUUAUUUGUAACUUUCCAGAGACUGAAAGAUUUGAGAUUUUCUUGAUGGUAAUUAUAUCAGAUUUUCAGAGCUUUAAGCCUUGCUCUGUAAACAGCACUGCAGAUGUUAAAAUUUAAACAAAAAGUGCCUAAUCUAUAGUCUACAAACUUGUGAUCUUAACUGUCUAUUUAUCUACAGAACAAGAAUUUUACAGAAAUAUGAAAAACAGCAAUACUAAAACAAUCAAAUACAAAUAAAAAAAAAAGAAAAAAUAAAGCAUCUCCAUUUGAAAUGCUUAAGCUUAGGCACACAGAAACCUGAAAAUAGACAAAGGACAAAGCAGAUAACAUGGAUAUAUGCACUUUAUUCAUCAUUAAAACUGGCUGUUUCAGAUAGGCUGAACUGAAUUAAAAUAUUCAAUGGAAUAAUAUGUAAUUACUGAAAACUGGCUAGUAUUAAUAAUAGUAGUUGUUUUUUUUAAUACAAAGCAAUGCUGAAACAAAAAAAUGUCCUAUUUAAAAUCUCAUUCAAAAUGAAACCAAGUGAACAUAUUUAUAAAUAAUAUAUACAGUUUCCAAACUAUCCUGUGAACUAGCAAUAUUAGCAACAUGCACCAUAUACAUUUUUGCAUACACAUCUGAAAGCAGCAGGAUAUGAUCUUUUACUUCAAAGGCAGCCCCUGUAUAUCUAAGAUUAAACAAAAGUGUCUUUUAUGGCUGAAUCAAGGUUUUAGGGCAGAUGGGGCAGUAAGUAAACAGUACUCAAAACAGUGAAGAUGGAUUCAUGUAAAGCAGGAAACAACUCUGAUCAGACAUUUGAGAAUGUAUUAGAAAGAGAUGUUUGUGGAUAAGGGAGGAAGAAAAGACAGGCAAAAGAAAAAAAAAAGGAAAGGGAGCCAUCAAAACAAUUUACUUUUACUUUAAGGCAUCUUGGUAGACAACAUUAAGUGAAAAAAUCGCUAACUUCCAAGAUCAGCAACUAUACUGAAAGGAGUAAGGUAUUUGCACAGAGGCAAAAUUGGCUUAAACACUGAAGACAGAAGGUCAUCUUAAGUGAACUUCAUAAAAAGGAAUGCAACUAAUGGCCCUCCACAUGGGUAAUCAUUAAGGAUGAUUCUGCUCAUUUUUUACACCUGUGGCCUAGAAGAGGUAAUGCAGCUCUCUGACAGAGAAGAAGCUAGAGUGAAAGACCAGUUAUCAAGUGAAAAGAAGUGUUUGAAUUGAGUUAGACUAGAAAUGAUGUGAUGUAGAGAAGAGAUGAGACUGUUAGUAACAAGCAGAUGUGCAAUAGAAAACUCUAAUAAAGAUAAGGAUCUCAAUGAUGUUAUCUAGAAUAGAAAUUUUGUUUAUUAGAUUCUGAAGUUAAACAACUGAGAAAAUUAACAUAAAUAUAAGUUAAAAUAAUGUUUGCCUGAAGACAAAUAUUACUGAAUAUUCAAGCAAAUCUUUGAAUGCAUGUUACAGAUAAUAUAUUUAUGUAAAUAUAUCCACACUAGAAAAACACUCUGAUAAUAAAGGUAACUAUCAGCCAGCCCAAAACGUAAAAGAAAGUUGAGCUUCUUUCAUUUCCUUGUCAAUAGCUUAGAGAUUGAAUAUGGUGUUGAGUGCUUUCAUGGCAGAAGCAAGGACCUAAAAAAAGGAAAUGUCAGAUUUUUUUUCCUGUACUGGGACAUUAGGUUAUCAUCAUAACACAUGAACAAAACUACUUUUUUUUUUUUUUUUUUUUUUUUUUUUUUUUUGCUAUUAUGCAUCAGUAUUUUCUUUCUGUUUCACGUUUGGUGAAGCAGUUAUAAAUGCAAGAAAGUGACAUAUUUUCAAAAAUUGAAGUUUUUUGAGCCAUGCUUAUAUGAUUCGGAUAGAUGUAAAAAUAGCAUAUUUUGAUGCUGAUCAAAAUGCAUCUGAAAGCAUUAAUAUGAUGUCUCAUUAAUCUGGACUUAUAUAGGCAAAUGCAACAUGUAUAAUUCACAUUAUAUAAUUACAGCAGAAGAGAAUAUAAAUUCUCUUAUCCUGGAAACUUCUAAAUUAUGAUAGAAUUUUCUGUACUGUAAACUGCUCUUGGCUAAAAUCUUUUCAAAUACAUAAGCUGAAAAUUGUUUCACUCGCUGACCUGUGAGCCAAGUUCCCCAAAGCCUGAUGCAAAUUAAAAUGGCUGAGUUAUAAAUAUCUCUGAAAGUAGGUUUAUAAUGGAAACACAACCAGAUCUUUCACUACAGAAGUACUCUUGGGGGCUGUUAGGACAGUUUAUAGAGCUAUCAGCGCCAAACUAUAAGUUAAUGAGGAGGAGCAAUUGACUGUAAUAAAGCACCCCUAAACAAGAAGAGAGCAUUAAAAAAUGCAAGCACUAAAAAUUCCUUUUGGGCUUCCCAUUAGCUAUGUCCCUGUAUAAAGUUGCUUCUUUCAUCAUUCUGGAAUAUAUUGCCAUGACUUCUUACAUUUUCAUGUGCUGAAUUCGGUACGUACACUUUUAUAGGCCUGGGGAAGAGGUGUGUGUGAAACUUAAAGUCAGAAGGCAGUUGUCAAAAAGCAAUUUACUAUUCUCCUCUCUUCUCAGCCUUACCUCUGUUCUCUUUAUUAUUACGUGACUGGGAAUGCACCGUAGGAUGACAGCAAGAUAAAAUUAGAUAUGGCUCCAUUUGACUUUUGCACCUUUUCACAUCAAUCUAUUCUCGCAAGUUUUAUUGUUAACAUUUGAACGUAGCAGAGAGUACAGGUGCCUAUGGCAGGCAAUCAGUGCUUGAGAGAGCUGCACAUAAAGACAAGACUUAGUUAAUGCUAGGAUAUAAGGGGAAUGUACAUGAGGGAGAGAGACAAUUGCUGUUAUUCUAGGCAUAAGAAUACAUCACUAAGUAAAUUUAAUGUAUGUUAUGACAGUCAUUAUAAAGACAGCAUUCACCGCAGAAGAGAUAACAGAAAUAUUCUUCUCAUUUCAGGGAUGACUGGUGAUGGUGUAGAGUGAUCAGAUUUUUUUCUCUUUUCCAGCCAGAAGUCAUUGUACUCGUUUUGGAAAAGGUAUUUAAAAGAUUGAGACUGAUCAUCAGUAAUUAAUGCUGCUGAAGGUAGACAUGUACAGCUUUGAACUCACCUUGAUUUUUUUACACUGGGACAUAUAUACUACAGGAAAGAUUAAAUAAAUCCUUUGUGUUGGACUGAGAUGUAACCAUCAAGAACAAAACAAAUGAUGAACUAAUCCCCCCAGUACAUUUGUUUAUUUUUCCUUCCUGUUGGCUACAUGCAGUUUGAACUGCAUACAUACACUUCUUAAUGAGAGUAAUAAAGAGAUAAUAUGGACAAUAUGUAUACUAUAUAAAAAGACUCACAGUAUUCCUGUGUCUGGCUUAAAUUAGUGAGUGGUUUAAGAAUAUAAAAUAAUUCAUUGUGUAUAACUUCAACUCCUCCCAAACACUGUUAUUUAAAAUGUAGUAGCAUAAUGAACCCUUUUAAACUUAGAACUCCCUUUGUGGUCCCUUAAGGCUGUGCUUUCUACCUGUCACCCCACUUAAAACGUUGCUACCACCUCAGUUUUCUAUCUCCACUUAACAAUCUCUGAUGGUAAACUGGAAGGUGAAGGGCAAAGCUAAUGGGAGGAUGGCUACAAUUUUUGGAGUUUUGCUCUAGAUUGCAACAAAACCCCAAAUCUUCAGAGUGCAGGAACUGACAUCUUCUUUUGACAAAAUGGAGUUGUGCUUAAAUCCAGUUUCUCCAGUCUAGUCCAAGACAGUUCACUGUGGCCUCCUUUCCUAUGCACAGUGAAUGGAAAGUGAAAAUACAGAAAUUAAGCGAUCUCCAGUUCUCAAUUUUGUUUAAUAGGAUGCCGCCUUGUUUCUAAGCUAAGAAUGUGACGACAGCUUUUAACCUUAAAACCACAAACAGGAGAGCUUCAGAGGUGCUUGCCAAGAUAUGUAGUGCUCUAUGUCUGCAUUUAUGGGAAACCCGUUAACGUGGUCUUUCAUCAGUGUGACUGCUCUCAUUCUGCAAUGCACUGGAGGACUUGCUGACACAGCCAGAGAUUGCUCUGCACCCAUAUGGCUGCAAAAGUGGAACAUUGCUUUCUCUGGGAACAGGAAGAAACUGACAGUCCAAAAAAAUGAAAGUGAAGUUGCGAUCUCAAGUAACUGGGAAUUCAAAUUCAGCAUCGCACAGUGGCAUAGCUGCUCUGUAGACAAUAAAGGUAAGAUCCAUCUCCAUUAGAUUUUCAACUUAGGUGUCUUUUUAAAAUGGGGUAUUUCUAGAGUCUUUUUUUUUUUUUUUUUGCUAGCUGCAGAAAUGAAUAAUGCUUGUUUCUUCCAGUGUGUAUAAAAGGAGUCUAAAAGGAGUCUAAACUGCCACACAGAUCUUGAUAUCUACAUUGUAGGCAUCAAAAGUGUUGAAGAAAAAACCCAGCCAGGACAAUGCAAGUAAUCAAAACUAUAGGAGUGUUGAUGUGCACUAAGAUCAGAACUGCCUUAUAAUCCAGACAGACCACUCAACAAAUUCUGUAUUCCUUCCCACCAGCUUAGUUUGUUAUGCAGUUAAAUGAUGGUGACUACAUCUGAAUGACGUCAGUUGAAUUAUAUUUACUCUCACAGUUGCAACAUUAAAGUAGCCUACCAGAAAGGAAACUGGGCAUUGCUGUCAGUAUGAGCUGCAAACUGUGAAAUGAACCAUUGGCAUUAGAGAGCUCUUGAUGAAAGCCCUGCAGAGAGUAAAGCAGUAGCAACUGCUUCUAACAAGUGGUUUCAGAAUUUUAAAAACCAUCAGGUAAAUAUUCCAUUUACUCAGUAUCUGCUAACACAGAAAUAAUUGCCUGUAGCUGCAGUAAGUUGAGGAGUAACAGUAGAGAAUUCAAUGUGCUACACAAAUAUACAUGUUCUUCUAUUAUUCAUACCAUGACAUUUGUUGGUUGUCUCAGGAGUAACAAGUGAGGCUUCUAUUGGUUCAUGAACUGCUUGAAUUAUGCAUAGUGAUGGGUAGGCAUUCACCGUGUACAAACUGGUUUUGAACCGUGCAUUUCCUGGGGGCAAUAUUUCUCAAGGUAACUAGCAAACUUUUAAGUUAUUUCAGCCUGCUGAGUAUUAGUAAUUACUACCGUGGCAGUGAUCCCAGCAUGCAUGCUUUCUUGUAAACGUGGGAGAUAAUGAAUGUAUAAUUGUUGGGAGGUCAGAAUCAUCAUUGUAUUUAUUCACACUCAAAGAGGUUUUCUACCUCAGCUGGAAUAUAAAUUAUGACAUCAAACUGCUAAGUAGCUAUCUGCAGUUCAGUUGUCACUAUAAAUAGCUGUCCACAAGAGGGAGGUGGCAGUAGAUCAUAUGUUUUAAGAACAGAACUGUACAAUUGUAUCCUAACAGUCCUGCUACAUUAUCAGUUUUAGGCUUUUGUAUCUAAUACCUGUUUAAUGUGUUUUUAGUUAUUCAUUUGUAGGGACAAUUCUAGCCAUCUAUAAGGGCAUGAAAACCCAUUAGUACAGCAUUCACUGCAUAAAUACAGCACAUUGGUUUUACCAAAGGAAAAGCCCUUUCAGAAAAGGUUAAUAAAGACAAUAUUUUGCUUGUUAGCAAAUACUUUUUUAC
Long non-coding RNA from Gallus gallus (chicken), 13340 nucleotides. The record is from Ensembl. Lineage: Eukaryota; Metazoa; Chordata; Aves; Galliformes; Phasianidae.